Molecule: long non-coding RNA, 1615 nt
Organism: Tetranychus urticae (two-spotted spider mite)
Lineage: Eukaryota; Metazoa; Arthropoda; Arachnida; Trombidiformes; Tetranychidae
Source: RefSeq, a predicted model, not a curated record
UCCCCCCCUUAGCAUGACUUGCCAUUUGACCGGUUAACGUCUUUAAGCUUUACGGUUAUUUUAUGUUAAAUGUAUACUAAUUGUUAACUAAUUAUGCUUCCAUUGUUAAUCAUCUUUUAUGCUCAUUAAUAGUUCCUGUGUUAAGUGUGGUCCAUUCAUUUACUGAAAAUGUCUGCAAUUGUUUAUUCAUUGUGUUCAAUCAAAGGUCUCUGGUGUGACUGUAAUGGCUGUAGUUAUUUCGUUUGGUUUCAUGCAAUGGAUUUCAUAUUCUGUUGUUUGAGGACUUUAUUCCGAAAUGAUUUUUGGUUUCAACAACCAUUUAAGUGAAAUUGGAUUUGACAGGUGAUUCAAUGAUUGAUUGCAACUAUUGAUUGGUAUGAUAAAAUCUUGGAAUAUUUUCUGGUUCAAUCCUUGCUUUGGUCUUAAUUGAGUAAUCAAAAGAAAUCUUUAAGUUGAAAGUCAUCAAGAAGAGCUCACCAUGAAGGAAAACAAGAAAAAUGACUGUCUCAAUGAAAGUAAAUGCCAUUUAUUAUCAUAAUGACAAUCAAGAUACAGAAGAUGCAACCAACAUGUUCCCGAUGUCAAAAGUUGAAAGCUAUCAACAUCUCAAUCGUAUUGGAAUCCAUUCUGUCUACCUGAUUGCUAUUUUAUUGCCAUUUUAUUACGACCCGUUAGCAAAAUAUUAUCUUAAAGCGUGGAGAAAAAUCUUAUGUGUCUGGCUAGCGAAAUUAAACAACAAGGAAACAAGAAACACUUUGCCUUUCAGUGACAAUCAUGUUGCAUUUUUUUGACUCUUGAUUGUUCCAGCACAUAUAUUCCAACCUGAUUACCAUCUGAUAAAAAGUUGCUACAUUGAAAUUUUCAAUUGACCCUUUGAUUCAAAGCAAUUCGCUUCGUUGUAUCCGAUAUAAUAUUGACUGGAGCAAUUGUGCACAUUCAAGGAGAAGUCGAGGCAGAUUUAAUCUCUGUGUGAAGAUGAUUUACUUUCAAUAAUUAUCUAAUGCGUGACUCUCAUAGCUAAUAUUGAAUCUCAUUGAAUAAGAAAUCAAAAUUAACGAUGUAACAAAUCAUUUGGUCGAUAAAGUGCGGAGGCAUGUAAAUGCAUUAUCAUUCAAACAUCAAUCAUAACAAAAUUGAAUGAUUGCUUAGCUGAUGAUUUUUAUGCAGAUGUUACCAAACCAAAAGUGGAAGAGUUAAUAAUUUUCGACAUCUUCACAAUGAUUAUUAAUGGAAAUCUUGAAAAUAAUUGAUUUACCUUUGUCUUUUCAAAGCUAAGGCUUUCACUUGGCAAGUUUAAAAAGAGCGGAAAAGGGUAAACUGUAAAAUUUGCUAAAAAAUGAGAAAUCAAAUGAAGUUAACCGAUGUUUCUGGCUCUAUUAAUUGUUGAUGAAACAGGAAUUAGGUUAAAAAUCAUGUAAUAUUGCUAAUUGAUAAUCCUGUAUUUGAAGAGGGAUUAAAUUAACGAUUUAGAAGCGAAUUAAUUAGAUUAAAUAAUGUUGUUCCAAUCAUCUUUAAAGUUGUAUUUGCACGCUGAUUAUCCCUAAAGAGGGUAAAGCUCAUAAGGUGUAAGUGUUAACUGAGUUUUGGGUUGUAAUAAAAUAUAAACUGUUGAACA